CCGUGCUAAAUGGGGCAUUAGCGGCGUCUUGUAACCUGCAAUCCGCUACAGCAGGAUUGAAGCCGAAAUUGAGGGCUGCUUUUGUGGGGUCAGCCGACGGUAAGUAGUGUUGACAGUUGGGUCCUGCGCAACAUGGACUCGCGAACCGUGUCAGGUCCGGGAGGAAGCAGCACUAAGCGAGCAACUAUGUGUGCCGCGGGAGUGCCUGGCUCGAGCCAACUGCCGUCGUAACGCUCGGAAGAGUAUGUUCGAAACUCGGCGCACGG
RNAcentral lists this signal recognition particle RNA (266 nucleotides) under Clostridiales bacterium. RNAcentral's name for it is "signal recognition particle sRNA large type". It matches the Rfam family "Bacterial large signal recognition particle RNA". From Rfam's summary of the family: The signal recognition particle (SRP) is a universally conserved ribonucleoprotein involved in the co-translational targeting of proteins to membranes. Archaeal SRP consists of a 7S RNA and homologues of the eukaryotic SRP19 and SRP54 proteins. In most bacteria, the SRP consists of a 4.5S RNA and the Ffh protein (a homologue of the eukaryotic SRP54 protein). Lineage: Bacteria; Bacillati; Bacillota; Clostridia; Eubacteriales. The record is from RNAcentral.